This 533-nucleotide ribosomal RNA is filed under the name Penicillium sp. Its description in RNAcentral is "partial large subunit ribosomal RNA". It matches the Rfam family "Eukaryotic large subunit ribosomal RNA", at positions 56 to 595 of the family's 3401-position model. Lineage: Eukaryota; Fungi; Ascomycota; Eurotiomycetes; Eurotiales; Aspergillaceae. The record is from RNAcentral.
AAGGAAACCAACAGGGAUUGCCCCAGUAACGGCGAGUGAAGCGGCAAGAGCUCAAAUUUGAAAGCUGGCUCCUUCGGGGUCCGCAUUGUAAUUUGUAGAGGAUGCUUCGGGAGCGGUCCCCAUCUAAGUGCCCUGGAACGGGACGUCAUAGAGGGUGAGAAUCCCGUAUGGGAUGGGGUGUCCGCGCCCGUGUGAAGCUCCUUCGACGAGUCGAGUUGUUUGGGAAUGCAGCUCUAAAUGGGUGGUAAAUUUCAUCUAAAGCUAAAUAUUGGCCGGAGACCGAUAGCGCACAAGUAGAGUGAUCGAAAGAUGAAAAGCACUUUGAAAAGAGAGUUAAAAAGCACGUGAAAUUGUUGAAAGGGAAGCGCUUGCGACCAGACUCGCUCGCGGGGUUCAGCCGGCAUUCGUGCCGGUGUACUUCCCCGCGGGCGGGCCAGCGUCGGUUUGGGCGGUCGGUCAAAGGCCCUCGGAAGGUAACGCCCCUAGGGGCGUCUUAUAGCCGAGGGUGCAAUGCGACCUGCCUAGACCGAGGA